This 4115-nucleotide unclassified non-coding RNA is filed under the name Anthonomus grandis grandis. RNAcentral describes it as "uncharacterized LOC126733621". The record is from RNAcentral. Lineage: Eukaryota; Metazoa; Arthropoda; Insecta; Coleoptera; Curculionidae.
UCAUGUUUCUCGGCACGACGUUCAGAGCAAAAAAUGUUUAUUUUGCAUUAUUGUUGGCCUGCCUUAUCGCUGGGAAUUCAUUCCGUUUUGUCGUGUUCGAGGUACGCGUCGAAAUUCUUUUUGACUUAAAAAUGCCUAAACGUAAAAUAAGUGAGGGAAAAAAGUGUGAAGUGAGGAAACUUAACAAAAAACUCAAGAAAAUACAGGAUAAGCUACGACUACUGGAUUCAAGCGAUUCGUCUUUUACGUCAUCUAGCGAAUCUUCAGGUUCGUCUUCGGACGUAGAACCCAAUAAUGAAGAAAUCCAGAUCAUACCUCAAACGGAGACAGCACCAGAACAGAUUGAAGUAGAUUUUGACUUCUUUGGCAGCAAGCCGCUGGACGAGGCACAAAUCGGUGUAGCAAUACACAACGAGAUUGCAGUACGCUGGAGUGCAGUGCUACAAUCGGGGUUAACCAGUGCACAAAGAAGUGACAUUACAGAAAAAUACAAAAUUCCCGAAAAUUGUCUACAAUUGCUACCUCCAAAAACAAAUGAUGAAAUACAACCAUGUCUUCCCGAUGGGGUUCUUAAACAUGACAAAUUCGUUACAGCGUUGCAGUUACAGCUAGCUCACGGCCUCUCAGCCAUCGCAACAAUAAUAAACAAAAAUUUGCCAGUCGCAGAACAGGCUAACGACACAAAAGUUUUGGGGGAAGCAUGUCAAAUUUUUGCAAAUGUCCAUAAUGCGCUUUCAAUUCAUAGAAAGUACAAAAUUUUGCCGCAUUUACAUCCUGAUUGUGCUAAAGUGGCCAAAAACAUAAAAAUGGAUAACAACCUGUUUGGAAAAGAUUUUCAUGAAGUUUUCAAAAACGACCAAGCUCUAAAAAAAUCAAGUGCUGUCUUGAAGAAGAGAGCCUCAACUGCCAUGACUGCGACCGCUGGAACUUCUGGACUUCAGCAGAAAUACCGUCAGUCUUUAAACUACCAGCGCCCCCAAUACAAAGGGAAAUUCAAAGAAGGAGUGAGGAGAGAGGAGAUGCUGCCGAGGGAAAGAAGCAAAUGGAACCAGCGGAAGGAACAACAGUACCAUCAACGCAGGAAGUAGGCGGUUCGAAUAAGGACCAGCCAUCCGCUAUGCAAGGAACUUUCCCUGGUGGCAGGGAAAUUGUCAGGGUCGCUUAUCAAAUAAAAGGAAUUCCGGCGACAGCGAUACCAACAAUGAUCAAUUCCUUAUCAGAAGGCACCUUAAAGCAAUAUUCCAAUUGUUUUAAAAAAUACUGGGAGUUUUGCAAUGAAAGGCAAUAUAUAAACCCAUUUAUUUACAGUAUAGGUAGAUAUUUAGAAUUCUUAGAACAUGCAUUAAAUAAAGGAAUGUCUUAUUCUGUCAUUAAUUCUUAUAGGUCGGCUUUAAAUCUUAUAUUUUCGCCGAAAGAACAAGACUUAAAAUGCAUUAAUAGGUUUCUCAAGGGUGUAGCAAAUAUAAGACCGCCGGAGCCGAAAUAUUCGUACAUCUGGAAUCCGGAUUCGGUACUAGCAGUUUUGAAAACGUGGUACCCAUUAAAUUCCUUGAAUAUCGAAAAACUAACCUAUAAACUUACUUUUCUAAUGGCAAUUGCAUCCGCCAGUAGAGUACAAACUUUAACUAAAAUAAAAAUCGGUAACAUAUUAAAGAAUGAAAAUAAAAUAGAAAUAAAAAUUUCAGAUAGAAUUAAAACAUCAGCCCCCAAUAAAAUCCAACCAGUUUUAAUAUUCCCAUUCUUUAAUGAAACACCAGAGUUAUGCGUGGCACACACUAUAGAGGCUUAUCUAGAAAAAACUGCACAGUUUAGGAAUAAUAACGAAUCACUGAUCCUAACACAUAAAAGACCAUUUCACCCAGCAACCUCACAAACCAUAAGUCGAUGGCUGAAAACAGUAUUAAAAUUAGGAGGAAUUGACACUACAGUUUUUUCUGGUCAAAGCACUCGACACGCAUCAGCUUCCGCUGCUUCCAGGAAAGGGGUGAAUAUUGACCUCAUACGUCAUACGGCCGGGUGGACGCCGUCCUCCAAUACAUUUUUCAAAUUCUAUAAUAGACCCUUAAUUAAACCCAGAGAAGAAUUUGCUAAAACGGUGCUAACCACCGAAAAAUAAUGUUGCAUAAGAUUAUUAAAAUUCAUCCUUAUUGGAACAAGCCUUACAUAUUAUUAAUAAUAAUAUUUAGUCUAGGGUUAUAUAAGUAUUUAUAUAAUGUACAUAUAAAACUUUAGGUUUAAGGAUCCAAUAUAUGUAGGUACAUAGGAACAUACCAAUGUUGCAGAUUAAUUUAGUAUAGGUAUAAGUGUUAAUUGUUAAAUGCCAAUAAUUACUUAAAAGAUGCAUUUACGCAUUUAUAUAAGAAAUCUUAUAUUAUUACUAUUACUCACUUCAUAAGUUUAUUAAAAUAAUACAUGUCAUAACCAGGUACAAUUUGUUAGAUAAAUUAAAAUUUCGCCACUACAAAAUUGCCUUUGACUCUAAACAUCUACAUUGUUGUAAUUAUAUCAAGGACAAGCGAAGGAAAAUUAUAAGAUCAAUCGACUUACCUGAAGGAAGAUUGAUAUUAAUUUUCCGAGCUUGUCCGUAGAUAUAAUUACAAACCCUCCCACCACUUCCAAGCACCCAGAAGCAAUUUUGUCCACCAACCAACGCCAACGGAAUGAAUUCCCAGCGAUAAGGCAGGCCAACAAUAAUGCAAAAUAAACAUUUUUUGCUCUGAACGUCGUGCCGAGAAACAUGAUUCACGGAUACUACAUUGUUGUACAUUGUUGUAAUUAUAUCUACGGACAAGCUCGGAAAAUUAAUAUCAAUCUUCCUUCAGGUUUAGUGCUUAUUUUAAGUGCAUACAUUGCAAAUAUGUGUCGCAAAGGCCAAGAAACGACGGAAUCCGAGCGAAAAAUAAUUGUACAGCAGCGAAAAAAGGGUAAAUCGUAUUCAGCGAUUGCCCAAAUUGUAAAGAAAAGUCGAUUUACCGUGCGUAGUGUCUUAAAAAGGUUUGAAACUGCAGAAAAUUUCAAAAAUAAGCCUAGAACUAGACAUCCGCCAAAGUUAACGGAGAGGCAAGAGAGAAAAAUUGUGAAUAAAAUUAAGCAAAAUCCUCGAACUAGCGCUUCUGAAAUUGCGGCUAUAUUGACAGAAGAAGAUCAUCAAGAAUCAAGAAGCAUCAACGUGAGCUCAAAAACAGUACGAAGAGUUCUUCAUAGGGCUGAAUAUAGUGCCAGAGUAGCUCGGAAUAAACCAUUUAUUAAUAAGGUUAACCAAAAAAAGCGUCUUGAAUUUGCGAAUGCACACUUUUAUCAAGAUAAUAUAUUUUGGGACAAAGUAAUAUUCUUUGAUGAAAGUAAAUUCAACAUUUUUCAUUCAGAUGGGAAAGUGACUGUGUGGAGGAAGCCCAAUUGUGAACUAGAUGCACAAAAUCUGCAUAAAACUGUGAAACAUGGUGGUGGUAGUGCACUAGUGUGGGGCUGUAUGUCAUCGGGAGGGGUCAGAAAUCUGGUUUUUAUAGAUGGUAUUAUGGACAAAAAUGUAUAUUUAAAUAUUCUAAAAAAAACUUAAGAGCUAGUGCGGAACAACUUAAUUUGGCAAAUGAUUAUUACUUUCAACAGGACAACGAUCCGAAACAUACAGCCUAUUUAGUCAAGCAGUGGAUUGCGUUUAAUGUCCCUCAUACUUUAAAUAUACUUCCUCAAUUUUCAGAUGUCAACCCGAUCGAAAAUCUUUGGAGUGAGCUAGGAAAACGAAUAAGGAAACACCAUAUUUCCAGUAAGGAAGAGCUUAAACGUGUUUUGCUGCAAGAAUGGAAUAGUUUUGAGCCUGUCAUACGCAAAAGCUGGUCCAUUCAAUGAGAAGGAGACUCACUCAUAUUAUAAAAAGAAAAGGAGGUCCUACAAAAUAUUAGAAAUGGGAUUAAAUUUUAUUUUUAUUUGGUGUGCCAAUAGUUAUGUCCAUUUUAAAUAGAAUGUAAUUUUUAUUUUUUGUUGUGCUCUCGUUAUGCUUAAGGAAAUCUGUUUUAUUUUACAUUAUUACGUAUUAUUGUACUAAAUCUUUUAUAUGUUUUUAGUUAGAUAGUUAUUAUUGGGUUACAUAAAUAUAGUAAACAUUAAUAAAUUACUUU